This 431-nucleotide ribosomal RNA is filed under the name uncultured Arthrobacter sp. RNAcentral describes it as "bacterial SSU rRNA". It matches the Rfam family "Bacterial small subunit ribosomal RNA", at positions 358 to 790 of the family's 1533-position model. Lineage: Bacteria; Bacillati; Actinomycetota; Actinomycetes; Micrococcales; Micrococcaceae. The record is from RNAcentral.
GGAAUAUUGCACAAUGGGCGAAAGCCUGAUGCAGCGACGCCGCGUGAGGGAUGACGGCCUUCGGGUUGUAAACCUCUUUCAGUAGGGAACAAGGCCAGGCAUUGUCUGGUUGAGGGUACUUGCAGAAGAAGCGCCGGCUAACUACGUGCCAGCAGCCGCGGUAAUACGUAGGGCGCAAGCGUUAUCCGGAAUUAUUGGGCGUAAAGAGCUCGUAGGCGGUUUGUCGCGUCUGCCGUGAAAGUCCGGGGCUCAACUCCGGAUCUGCGGUGGGUACGGGCAGACUAGAGUGAUGUAGGGGAGACUGGAAUUCCUGGUGUAGCGGUGAAAUGCGCAGAUAUCAGGAGGAACACCGAUGGCGAAGGCAGGUCUCUGGGCAUUAACUGACGCUGAGGAGCGAAAGCAUGGGGAGCGAACAGGAUUAGAUACCCUUG